This 1150-nucleotide long non-coding RNA is filed under the name Salmo salar (Atlantic salmon). RNAcentral describes it as "lncRNA (ENSSSAG00000110997.1, ENSSSAG00000114313.1)". Lineage: Eukaryota; Metazoa; Chordata; Actinopteri; Salmoniformes; Salmonidae. The record is from RNAcentral.
CAGAUUUUCCUCGGAUUGGAAAUCCUCUUCCUCGCUGCAGUACUUCUUACCAACAGCAAUCACCUGUAUUGUGGGAGUCACUAUUUCUCAACUAAUCGUUAGGGUGUUUUUGGUUGACCCACGCGAACGCGACUGAAUAGAAACAGGAACCAACUUUGUCGCGAUUCCAAAGCUACAAGGGUUACAAAUGAAAGUGAUGAGACUUCUCUCACCAAUUAAUUGUACACGUUUUCAGUUUGUUAGUGUGUGAUAUCGGGUAUAAAAAAGUUUGACACUGAUGGUUAUGAUCGGAUGAAGUCGUCUCAAAUAAAACUAUGAAGGACCUCGGCGUUACUCUGGACCCUGAUCUCUCUUUUGACGAACAUAUCAAGACUGUUUCAAGGGGCUGAGUCACUGGCUUACGUGAUCUUCCUGUCUGGGUUGGCGCCCCCCCUUGGGUUGUGCCGUGGCGGAGAUCUUUGUGGGCUAUACUCGGCAUUGUCUCAGGAUGGAUCUGAGCCCUAGGACCAUGCCUCAGGACUACCUGGCCUGAUGACUCCUUGCUGUCCCCAGUCCACCUGGCCGUGCUGCUGCUCCAGUUUCAACUGUUCUGCCUGCGGCUAUGGAACCCUGACCUGUUCACCGGACGGCUAUGAAAAGCCAACUGACAUUUACUCCUGAGGUGCUUACGUGUUGCACCCUCGACAACCACUGAUUAUUAAUUUGUCCAUGCUGGUCAUCUAUGAACUUUUGAUCAUCUUGACCAUGUUCUGUUAUAAUCUCCACCCGGCACAGCCAGAAGAGGACUGGCCAAUCCUCAUAGCCUGGAUCCUCUAGGUUUCUUCCUCAGUUCUGGCCUUUCUAAGGAGUUUUUCCUAGCCACCGUGCUUCUACACCUGCAUUGCUUGGGGUUUUAGGCUGGGUUUCUGUACAGCACUCGAGAUAUCAGCUGAUGUAAGGGCUUUAUAAAUAAAUUUGAUUUGAUUGGAAGCAGAUCUUAAAUUCCAUUCACUACCCCAAUAACAUAGAGGGAUACAAAUGAUCAAAGCUUGAUACACACAACCCUUCCACUGUUCAGUAACACCGGACACUAGUUUUGCACCAAAAAUGUUAACGUUUAUUAUUUUGAUUUACAAUUUGUAAAUGUACUUUUUUCCUUUGAAUAUCCAAC